This 276-nucleotide ribosomal RNA is filed under the name uncultured bacterium. RNAcentral's name for it is "partial 16S ribosomal RNA". It matches the Rfam family "Bacterial small subunit ribosomal RNA", at positions 44 to 334 of the family's 1533-position model. The record is from RNAcentral.
GUGCCUAACACAUGCAAGUCGAACGAGAAAGUGGAGCAAUCCAUGAGUAAAGUGGCGACCGGGUGAGUAACACGUGACUAACCUACCUCCGAGUGGGGAAUAACUCCGGGAAACCGGGGCUAAUACCGCAUAACAUCGCAAGAUCAAAGCAGUAAUGCGCUUGGAGAGGGGGUCGCGGCUGAUUAGCUAGUUGGCGGGGUAACGGCCCACCAAGGCGAAGAUCGGUAUCCGGCCUGAGAGGGCGCACGGACACACUGGAACUGAAACACGGUCCAG